GGUAAUGUGGUUUAGUGGUAGAAUGCUUGCAUAGCAUGCAUGAAGCCUUGGGUUUGAUUCCUCAGUACCA
Molecule: transfer RNA, 70 nt
Filed under: Dipodomys ordii (Ord's kangaroo rat)
Lineage: Eukaryota; Metazoa; Chordata; Mammalia; Rodentia; Heteromyidae
Rfam family: tRNA
About the family: Transfer RNA (tRNA) molecules are approximately 80 nucleotides in length. Their secondary structure includes four short double-helical elements and three loops (D, anti-codon, and T loops).
Source: Rfam by way of RNAcentral